RNAcentral lists this ribosomal RNA (75 nucleotides) under Alistipes sp. An116. Its description in RNAcentral is "partial 23S ribosomal RNA". Lineage: Bacteria; Pseudomonadati; Bacteroidota; Bacteroidia; Bacteroidales; Rikenellaceae. The record is from RNAcentral.
UACGUUGAUAGGCUGCAGGUGUAAAGACAGUAAUGUCAAAGCCGAGCAGUACUAAUUACCCGAACGGCUUUCCUA